UUGAACCCCCACACUCAAAACCCACCGCCAUCGCCGCUGGACUUCAGCCUCCCUCGUUGUCAGAAUUCCCCAUACUCCGCUCACACCAACACCACCCCACAACUACCGUCCACCUCCACAACCCAUCCUUGUUACUUAACCCGUGAUCCAAAACUCUAGAAUAACCAUCUCUAACUCUUCCAAAAGGUUACACUAUGAAGAACACCUUUAGGAAAUAACCUAGCUGACAUCACACCAUCAAACACUUUGAAACAUCUAGUCGCCAUAUUUCUCACUACAACUAACAAAUUUCUGAAUUAAAUGAGAGAUUUUGAAAGAGGAAGGAAAAUUUCAAGUAGGAGUAUCAGAGGUGCAAUCAUGGUGGAACUCCUUGAGGUUAAGAUAAGCGCCGCCAUACUCCGCUCCGGAGCGGUUCAGACACACACACUGCCCAUACUCCGAUCGUGAUGUGUAUCUCUUCGCGCCGCCCAUUUGAAAUUGAGGGUUUUGAUUUAUGGAUGAUGAUUGGUGAAUUGUUCUUUAUGUGAUGAUUUCUUGUUCGUCUUCUGUUUCAUCAUCUUCUGGCCACCACCGAGUCUCCGGCCACCACCGAUUCUCCGGCCACCAUCGAAUCUCCUACCACCCACCUGCCACCCACUGACCACCCACCUGCAAUCGGCCUUAACACCACCUCCACCGCCGCCCAUAACGCCACAUCCACCCACUCGCCAUCCACCCACCACCCACCUGCAACCGGCCUUAACACCACCUCCAUCGUCGCCCCUAGCACCACAGCCACCCACCACCCACCUACAACCAGACCCACCACAACCACCCGCCAUAACCACCUGCCACAUCCACCCUCAAAAGUCAGAUCGUGUGAUAGAAAGAGGCCCAUUCUAUACACACCCCCCCUCCUUCCUGAUUACACCCCCCCUUGUGAGAGGAAAACUGUCGGUCCCACGCAGGCCCCACCUGUAAGUAUGUGAGAGGAGGGGGGUGAAAAAAGUAAAUAGGGGGGGUGUAGAAAGUAGCACCCUAGAAAGAGUGUGUGAGAGAGAAAGUUUAGAGAGAGAGAAAAUAGGUUGAUGAAGGUUAAGUACCUUCUGAGAGAGAAUGCAGAAAGAAUGGGGUGAGAGAGAGAAUUUAACUUUAUUUAUAUGUUUUUUAUUUUUUUACAAAACAGUCUCUGAAUAUAAUUUAUCUUACACAAUAGUCCCUUGAAUGGUGAAAUUACAAUAGUACCCUCAUGUGCCUUGCAUAUGACUAGAUUUAACCAAAAAAUCUAACUGGGUUUGGCCUAAAGGACAAAACGUGCAAGAUUUUGAAAGAUAAAGGACACCGCCUGUCAACUUUUGCGUUAAAGGACAGCGCCUGAAAUUUGAUGUAAACAUAAAGGACAAAACUUGUAAUUUACUCUUAAAGUUUGU
RNAcentral lists this long non-coding RNA (1409 nucleotides) under Helianthus annuus (common sunflower). RNAcentral's name for it is "hypothetical non coding rna". The record is from RNAcentral. Lineage: Eukaryota; Viridiplantae; Streptophyta; Magnoliopsida; Asterales; Asteraceae.